Motacilla alba alba is the source of this 2116-nucleotide long non-coding RNA. RefSeq lists it as uncharacterized. The record is from RefSeq and is a predicted model, not a curated record. The transcript has 5 exons. Lineage: Eukaryota; Metazoa; Chordata; Aves; Passeriformes; Motacillidae.
UGCUAAGUAAUGUGUGCAUACAGCAAGCUGCUCUGUCAAUGUCACAUUAAUUAUCCCAUAAUAUUGGACUUGAUUCUUGGUGUGAACUUAGAUGUGCAUUCCCUUGCAUCGCAAUAAAUCAUGUACUAAGCCAUACCUGUUACUGCAAAAAUGUUUCUAGUAAAGCUGAUCCCCCCAAUUAGCUGAGAAAUGAACAGGAAGAGAUUUCCCCUGUCCUCUGUUUAUUUCCUCAGGUAUUAGAAAUUUAUUUCAUUCAGUUGGUGUGGACAGACUUGGCUAUUCAGUGAGCACCAGCGUGGGAUGGUUUUGUUGCAAAAGUAGCAGUCUAAUUAGAAGAUUGCAGUUUUCUGUUUCUGGCCUAGAUUUCAGUCAAGAGAUGAGCUGCUGUAGUCAGUGCAUCCAGUUUCCCUGAUCUUUGUCAGGAUUCUCUGCAGCUAAGCUUACAAUAACUUUUUCUGUUUUGGAAAGCUCUUUGUUCAAAUUAAUCCUUCAGAUUUUAAUUCUUACUUUAAAAAAAACGCUAAACAACAACAACAAAUCAUAAAAACCAAAUCCUGUCUUCUGGGUAUUUAGGAAGUGAGAGAAAGCAUCAUAACUUGCUGUUGCUCUGCUGGAACAAACGGUGAAAAUUACUUAAUCUAGUUUCAGUCUCUGUUUUAUGCUUGGCAAAUAAAAGAAAUAGAGGAAAAAGAGACAAGUACAAGAAAUGCUGGCUGUUCUGGGAUUUAUUUUCUUUUGCAAUUGAGAACUAGUAAACCUAGUUACUGUCUGACUAUCAAAACCCUGUAGUCUGUCAAAAUAUUGUAGUACAAAAUAAGAUGGACAAGCAUUGCAUCUGAUGAAUGGGAACAGGGAAAGGAAAACCAGGUUAGAGAAAUAUGAGAGAGAACAGGAGGAAUACUUUGUUUCCUGGCAACUUUCUCACAGUGCCCUGCAGCCCAGAGAUGCUUCUCUCUAAAUUCAUUGGAUGUGACAGUGAUGUGAAAUUUUACAGCUUGUAUCACAAGCUUUCCUUUUUGUUCAGUCUAAAGCUCUGCUUAUGACAGCAGGGAAAAGAAACCCAGGAGGUGAUAGGGCUUCACUUCUGAUUGGGAAUUUUGCAUUUGUUGCUGGUGUUAGUGAUGAAUAGCCCAGAGCUGCUAUCGCAGAUGCAGGGCUGGCUUUUCUGCUCACUCUCUCCUUCAGCUGGUAGGUACAGAGGGACCAUCAGGGCACAAGUUUUAGCUCUCACUGUGUCUAGCUCCACACUUGUUUAAAGCCAUCCAAAUAAUUGCCUGGUAUCAGCAGGUGCAUUUCAGGAGUUUGCCAAAUAAGUGAGCAAAGGCUACUGGGCAGUGCCUUCUGUCCACGUGGCUUGAGGUGCAAAAUCUGAGUCAGGGAAGUCACAGCUUAGAAUAUGUUUUGAAGAAAGACAAACAAAAAAAGCAGCCAAUACACUAUACCACCACCCACGAAUUAGACAAAGAGGCUUUAAAAGUACCCUGUGUUUGCUGUAGAAUUCCUCUAUUUAAAAAUACUUUCUAAUGACCUCUUGACUUAGUCUCUGCAGAAGAACCUUCCAGGAGUACCCAGCUGACCACCCUGAUCCUGCUUUCCAGAGCAGAACUUACUCCUUGAGCAGUGAUGCCCCAAUGUCCUGCCUGCACCUACUCUUUGUGAGAGGAGCCCUGCGCUGGAGGAUUGGGUGGCUCAAGGGCCCAGCAGAGCUUUCCAGCUGAUCCCAGCUCUGCGGGUGAGUCGCUGCCUCAGCUGGGCAGAGCUGUGGCUGCAGGGGGUUCUCAGCACGGGCAGGAGAGGCUGAGGAGCAGAAGGGCUGAGGAGAGGACGCCUGCAGCACUGUGCAGCUGGGAAAGGCAAGGAACAGCAAUCCUGGGAUCCUGGCUCCCACACCUCGCUCCCAGGUUUAGAACAUCAGAUGACUCUUAGCAGAUGUGAAAUGCUUCUGGAAGCCAAACAGUGGUUCUGUUGAUAUCCUUUGGACCACCCUGUUGUAAGUUGCACAUCCUCGUUAAAACAGGGAUGAAAUGGUCCCCAGGACCUGUCCCUGCUCUCUGUGGGUACUGCUGCACCAGCAAACUCCAGAGGGCCCCUGAGUGCAGAGACCUGGAGUGCAGUC